UGUAGCUCAACAGUAGAGCACUUGCUUAGUAUGCACAUGGCUCUGGGUUUAAACCCCAGCA
Molecule: transfer RNA, 61 nt
Filed under: Neotoma lepida (desert woodrat)
Lineage: Eukaryota; Metazoa; Chordata; Mammalia; Rodentia; Cricetidae
Rfam family: tRNA
About the family: Transfer RNA (tRNA) molecules are approximately 80 nucleotides in length. Their secondary structure includes four short double-helical elements and three loops (D, anti-codon, and T loops). Further hydrogen bonds mediate the characteristic L-shaped molecular structure. tRNAs have two regions of fundamental functional importance: the anti-codon, which is responsible for specific mRNA codon recognition, and the 3' end, to which the tRNAs corresponding amino acid is attached (by aminoacyl-tRNA synthetases). tRNAs cope with the degeneracy of the genetic code in two manners: having more than one tRNA (with a specific anti-codon) for a particular amino acid; and 'wobble' base-pairing, i.e. permitting non-standard base-pairing at the 3rd anti-codon position.
Source: Rfam by way of RNAcentral